RNAcentral lists this ribosomal RNA (116 nucleotides) under Meriones unguiculatus (Mongolian gerbil). The record is from RNAcentral. Lineage: Eukaryota; Metazoa; Chordata; Mammalia; Rodentia; Muridae.
GUAAACAGUCAUACCACCAUGAACCCACCCCAAACUCUUCUGAUCUUGGAAGCUAGCAGAGUCAGGCUUGAUUAGUUUUUGGAUUGGAGAAGUUUUUGAGCCCAAGUAUGUGGACU